GUCUUCACCAAGACUUGGAGGUCUUGAGUUUAGAACAUACUCUUGGCUGGGGUUGGAUCGUAGGAAAGGUUUUCCUAGGAAAUUGGGUAAGGUCAAACCAAGGUAGAGGUUCUAGGAAUUGAAGAAGGUAGCGUUCAAAGUCUUGUAAUUGGAAGUGUGUAUGUAAGAUACAUUGGCUACAAUUUUUAGUGAAGAAAAUCUCUCAUAUCAGAAGGGAGGUCUGGAUGUAUUUUUGCAGUGGAUCGGAAAACGAACAAGUAUAAAAAACAUUGUUGCAGGUUAUUUCUUACCCUUAUCUCUUUAAUGUUUUAAAGUAUUUUUAAUUGUCUAUUGUAGCUGAUAUUUUGAAUAUAGUAACUCUGCCAUAUAAAGAACAUUUCUGUUCAAAUAUACCUGCUAUAUCAUUUCUGUAUAAUCCGUAUGUGGCUGUAUAAUUUAGCCAUUCAACAACUGUUAAUUCUGUACGACUUAAUCGAUUGAGGCAGUCUUUAAUCGAUUAACUGAUUGAUUUUCCAGAAUAGGGCUUUGGUGUAAAUAGCGGUAAGUGGGAACCACAAUACCAAUUUAACCCCCCCUUUUCUAGGUGUAUUCUGUCACUGAUACCUAACAAAAUGAACAUUGUUUAUUUGGUUUAAAUGGAAGGACUAAGUAAUAAUAACGAAAAAUUAUUUGAAAAACCUUAAUAUUUGAAAUUGGUAUAUUUUAUUAAUAAAACUAUUUAUCAAAAAGUUAAAUGUUCAGGUGACAAGUUAAUUAGAAGGAUUAUCAAUAAUAAAUUGUAUAUUUUCACAAAGCAUUUAGUUACCAUGAUAAACCCCUUGAAUUCGAAGCCAUACUUUUCAUGAAUUAUGUGAUUUGUGUCACUAUGUUUAAUAUUAGUAGUAUUGUCUAUAGGAACAUACAACACUGUUGCUCUUUUGUCAAGAACCCAAAGGGGUGCUGUUAGAGCUUACACUAACUCUCAACCUCUUAGAUUGGUAGAAGGGUCGGCUAGGUACCCUACUUGUAACAUCCGAAAAAAUUACUAUAUUUUCAUAAUUAAAUUUCGAACCACCCAUUAUAGUUUUAUUUUAUGGUAAAAUAAAUACAAUGAUAUAAUCAAUUUACUUUAAAAAUGUAUCUCAACAUUAAGAUAAUAAAUAAUUACAGAAUUAUAUUGUUAUUAUUUUCUUACUUUUAUGAUUAUUAUUAUGAUCACUACUCAAUUAUAUAUAUAUAUAUAUCAAACUAAUAUUUUACAUUACAUGAUAGCAUUUGUAUAAAGGUUAUCUUAUUUUAUCCUUAUCAUUAUAUUUUUUUGUAAGCAAGAGUAUUGUAUAAAGUCACAAAGCAUUAUGCCAACCUGAUUACAGGUUACAAACAAGAUCUAAACAAGAAGAAGGGUCAGUGCAUCAUUGUGGAAAAGAGUACAAAUUAGCACCAACAUGGUUUGAAAACCAAAGCCAAGAUCUAGUUUAAUCAAAUCUAUGAUUUGUAUGUAACUCGACUUUUCCCCCUUAAAAAUUAUAUCAUUCCUCAUACUCCAAACAGCCCAAAUCACAGUGAACUAGAAUAUUCUCUAGAUAUAAAACAUUUUAUGACGAUUACACAAAAAGUCAUGUAGUUGGAGAAAUUCAAUAAUAUUAUUCGGGAUAAGUACCUGAAUUUGAAGCCA
Molecule: long non-coding RNA, 1654 nt
Filed under: Lupinus angustifolius (narrow-leaved blue lupine)
Lineage: Eukaryota; Viridiplantae; Streptophyta; Magnoliopsida; Fabales; Fabaceae
Description: long non-coding RNA (LANG_LNC000328)
Source: RNAcentral